Sciurus carolinensis (gray squirrel) is the source of this 2574-nucleotide RNA transcript. It is a transcript of the gene named RCC1 domain containing 1, with no coding region annotated. The record is from RefSeq and is a predicted model, not a curated record. The transcript has 11 exons. NCBI's taxonomy places the organism in Eukaryota, Metazoa, Chordata, Mammalia, Rodentia, Sciuridae.
GCUUCCGCUUCCCAAGCAGUGACGUCACCGCGCUUGCUGGCGAUUGGCCCCAGGAAGGUUGCUGCAGCCAAUGGCCUCGCCAGGCGCGCUCGUCUUCAAAGUUCAUCUCCCCAGUGGAACUACCUCGGGAAAGAACUUGCCUGAGGGGUGGAGGGCACAGGGCCGGGAUCAAGGUCAGAGGUCCCUCGGGUUGGGAGUGGACACCUGGGGGCAGAAACCCGGGAGCUGGAUUUCAGACGAGAUCCGGCGCAUUGAAAAUACUUCCAAAAUUUCGAUCAAGCCUAACUUCCCGUGUGGAGAAAAAGGCAUUGCUGUUGGAACCACCAGACUGUCUCCCCAUUUCAGCGUGAGCUCUUUGCGGGCAGAGUCUAACUUCGCCGGCGCAGUAGAGGCCGGUUGAUCGAAUAAAUGAGUAGAUGUGGUCCAGUGGAAAUUGUGUCUAAACAGGUUUCUGAAAAACAAUAAGACAUCCCAUUGGUCAUUUUCGUUAACUCUAAGAACUGAACUUAAUAAGCCAACACUGCUAGCACCGAAGCCUUUAAUUGUAUUCAUUAUAAUUCUGAGGGGUAGAUACAAACAUCUCCCGUCUCACCCGCUUUUGUACAACUGAAGAAAUGGAUUUGGAAUUCAAGUUAAGAACAUCGGUUGGCUGCGGAGGCACUUGUGGAUAAGGCGACUCCAGCUCCUGGGAGGCCAGAGACUCGCGGUGUCGCACCAGUGGCUUAUCGGCAAGAAGCUCCUUAGGUUCCAGCUCUAUCCCUGGGUCCCUGCGACCCCAACCGGGUGGCAGCCAGCAGAGGGCGCUGCCGGGCAUGGCCGGAGAGCGACCCGGGGCUUGGUUCGGCUUCGGUUUCUGUGGCUUCGGACAAGCGCCGGGCUCCGGGCGAGGGCGCCAGGUGCGCAGCCCUGAGCCACUGCAGGCGGGUAUCGACAUAUGUCGCGUGAGCGCAAGCUGGAGCUACACCGCCUUCGUGACCCGUGCAGGUCGAGUGGAGCUGUCUGGCUCCACUAGUGGCGCGGUGGACGACUGCAGGGAUGCUUGGGCUUCGGAGGGACUCCUCAUGGUGAUUCGCUCCCGGACGGAUUCUGGGACUGAGCUGCAGGCCUGGGCGCCUGAUUCGGCGCUGCGCAGGGAGCCCCUUUGGACCCAGAAGCUGGCGCUUGAGGCUGAGGUGGAAGACAAAGCGCGAGAUGAGCCUGGAACUGGAUCGCUGCCCCUGCUGCCUUGCGCCUGCGCCUACGUGAGUCCGCAGCCACCCUUCUGCCGGUCCUUGGCCCCAGAGCUGCGGGCACGCCGGCUAGAGCUGGGCGCAGAGCACGUGUUGUUGCUGUGCGCUGCCGGCCAGGUGUUCUCCUGGGGCGGAGGCAGACACGGACAGCUGGGCCACGGGACACUGGAGGCAGAGCUGGAGCCAAGACUUUUGGAGGCGUUGCAGGGCCUACCCAUGGCCGAGGUGGCUGCUGGUGGCUGGCAUUCUCUGUGUGUGAGCGAAAUAGGGGAUAUUUAUAUCUGGGGCUGGAAUGAAUCAGGGCAACUGGCCUUGCCUGCGAGGAGCCUGGCAGAGGACAAGAAGACUUUUACAGAGGAAGGACUGAAUGGAGAUGGUUCUGAAGUGAAUAGAACAGCUAGGGCUGAGGAUGGAGCCUCCGCUCCCUUCAUAGCUGUACAGCCCUUCCCAGCUCUGUUGGAUCUUCCCCUGGGCUCAGAUGUAAUCAAAGCCAGCUGUGGAUCCCGGCACACUGCUGUAGUGACACGAACAGGAGAGCUGUACACCUGGGGCUGGGGUAAAUAUGGACAGCUUGGCCACAAGGAUAGCACCAGCAUGGAUCAGCCCUGCCGUGUGGAAUACUUUGUAGAGAAACAACUUCAAGUAAAGACUGUCACCUGUGGGCCCUGGAACACAUAUGUGUAUGCUGUGGAAAAAGAAAAGAGCUGACGUGUGUAUGCCAAAUCAAUCAAAUGGGCUUUGGGGAAAAAUAAAUCAAGAAAAACACCACAGUAUCUUUUUGAAAGGUCUUCCAGCCGAUCCACUUCUAACUGCAGCUGAAAGAAAAAGACAUAUUAAAGGUAUCUGCAACCUGUCCCAGAGUUCCCGGAUUUGAGCACGCAGUCCCUCACACACUGCUUCAUUUUGUGAUUUUCGCAUUUCCAGCUGUAGCAAGGAAAGGCUGUGAUUAAAGCAAAACAGUAACACAAAAGGCUGGCCCUCGGCAGCAAGGAAUGUCUGGACCCAAAUGAAGAAGCAGUAUUUAUAUUGUGAUUCCCAAGAGAAAUUUUUUGAUGCAUUCUAAACACAAGCUGUAAGGGUGUCACUGUGGAAGGAUCUCAGACAUCAAGAACAGGAUUCCAGGACAGGGGAGAUAGCUCAGCUGGUAGAGUGCUUACCUUGCAAGCACAAGGCCCUGAGUUCGAUCCCCAGUACCGCAAGAAAAGAACAGGAUUCCAGUUUUGAAUUGAAAUUUUUUUCAAUUAAACACUGUGCUUGAGGCUGAGGUUGUGGCUCAGUGGUAGAGCAUUUGCCUAGCAUGUGAGAGGCACCAGGUUCAAUUCUCAGCACCACAUAUAAAUAAAUG